RNAcentral lists this ribosomal RNA (513 nucleotides) under uncultured bacterium. Its description in RNAcentral is "partial 16S ribosomal RNA". It matches the Rfam family "Bacterial small subunit ribosomal RNA", at positions 28 to 507 of the family's 1533-position model. The record is from RNAcentral.
GACGAACGCUGGCGGCGUGCUUAACACAUGCAAGUCGAACGAAAAGAGGGAAAGAGCCUGCUCUUUCCGGAAUUGAGUGGCAAACGGGUGAGUAACACGUAAACAACCUGCCUUCAGGAUGGGGACAACAGACGGAAACGACUGCUAAUACCGAAUAAGUUCCAAGAGCCGCAUGGCCCAUGGAAGAAAAGGUGGCCUCUACCUGUAAGCUAUCGCCUGAAGAGGGGUUUGCGUCUGAUUAGCUGGUUGGAGGGGUAACGGCCCACCAAGGCGACGAUCAGUAGCCGGUCUGAGAGGAUGAACGGCCACACUGGAACUGAGACACGGUCCAGACUCCUACGGGAGGCAGCAGUGGGGAAUCUUCCGCAAUGGGCGAAAGCCUGACGGAGCAACGCCGCGGGAGUGAUGACGGCCUUCGGGUUGUAAAACUCUGUGAUCCGGGACGAAAAGGCAGAGUGCGAAGAACAAACUGCAUUGACGGUACCGGAAAAGCAAGCCACGGCUAUCUACGUG